RNAcentral lists this ribosomal RNA (397 nucleotides) under uncultured bacterium. RNAcentral describes it as "partial 16S ribosomal RNA". It matches the Rfam family "Bacterial small subunit ribosomal RNA", at positions 523 to 918 of the family's 1533-position model. The record is from RNAcentral.
AUACGUAGGGGGCAAGCGUUAUCCGGAUUUACUGGGUGUAAAGCGAGCGUAGACGGUGUGACAAGUCUGAUGUGAAAACCCGGGGCUCAACUCCGGGAUUGCAUUGGAAACUGCCAUACUUGAGUGCAGGAGAGGUAAGCGGAAUUCCUAGUGUAGCGGUGAAAUGCGUAGAUAUUAGGAGGAACACCGGCGGCGAAGGCGGCUUACUGGACUGUAACUGACGUUGAGGCUCGAAAGCGUGGGGAGCAAACAGGAUUAGAUACCCUGGUAGUCCACGCGGUAAACGAUGAAUACUAGGUGUUGGGGGUCUAUAGACCCUCGGUGCCGCAGCAAACGCAAUAAGUAUUCCACCUGGGGAGUACGUUCGCAAGAAUGAAACUCAAAUGAAUUGACGGGG